Molecule: long non-coding RNA, 761 nt
Organism: Stegodyphus dumicola
Lineage: Eukaryota; Metazoa; Arthropoda; Arachnida; Araneae; Eresidae
Source: RefSeq, a predicted model, not a curated record
UGAAAACCCGUUACUUUUCGCAGACAGCUGAGUGGCGGUGCACGGAGGAGGAGAGUUCGCGCUCGCUUGUUUAGAUGAUGACUUUUGUUUUCGACAUGAAGCUCAGAUUUCAGGAUUUCUAUUUCUGUGCACCCGAAGAUCCAGAAGCAUUAAAAAAUGAGGGAAAAGAAAGGCUAGACUAGAAUACGACACAUGAGAGCUGUCUACCUGAAGGGAAGAAAGCCUAAGGGGAAAGGCUUGUAUACAAGUUACAGGUGCAGAACACCAAUUCGAUCGAACCCCGAUCAAAAUCUCAGUGUUCUUAUCAGUGAUUAAAUGUUCUUAUCCACCCGACCACUGGUGGGUCUCAUGCUCAUAAGAAACAGUAUAUUUACAAGUUGGAAUGAUUUGAGAAACGUUUGAUUGAAUAAAAUUCAAGACACAAUAAAAAAUAAAUGCAAAAUUAAAAAUGAAAACGCUUUAUAAAAAUGUGCAGGAUGAUUUUAUAUGUAAAGCAUAUUUUUUAUUUCCUUGGUGGACUCAUUAUGAAGUUUCUUAAAUAAAAGUUUUUUUCUUUUAGUGGAAUAGUGGCUCUGAACACGGGCACUCACUGUUCGACAAUACAUGUAUAAAUAUAGACAGACAAAGAUAAUCAGCUAAUAAAUUAUUUGACUGAUAUAAACUCAUCAUUCAGAUCUUUAAAAGUGUUCAGAUAGUAAAAAAAUGGUACCUUAUGCUUUUACUUAAUUAUUUAUGACGUAAUGAGAAAUCUUUGUAUGAGA